RNAcentral lists this ribosomal RNA (253 nucleotides) under uncultured bacterium. Its description in RNAcentral is "partial 16S ribosomal RNA". It matches the Rfam family "Bacterial small subunit ribosomal RNA", at positions 524 to 776 of the family's 1533-position model. The record is from RNAcentral.
UACGGAGGGUGCAAGCGUUAUCCGGAUUCACUGGGUUUAAAGGGUGCGUAGGUGGGCAGGUAAGUCAGUGGUGAAAUCUCCGGGCUUAACCCGGAAACUGCCAUUGAUACUAUCUGUCUUGAAUACCGUGGAGGUGAGCGGAAUAUGUCAUGUAGCGGUGAAAUGCUUAGAUAUGACAUAGAACACCAAUUGCGAAGGCAGCUCACUACGCGAAUAUUGACACUGAGGCACGAAAGCGUGGGGAUCGAACAGG